AGUAACGCGUGGUCAACCUACCGUUGAGUGGGGGAGUAACUAGCCGAAAGGUUAGCUAAUACCGCAUACGUCUCCGAGAGGCAUCUCUUGGCGAUAAAAGGAGCAAUCCGCUCGAUGACGGGACCGCGUCCCAUUAGCUAGAUGGUGGGGUAACGGCCUACCAUGGCACCGAUGGGUAGCUGGUUUGAGAGAGCGACCAGCCACACUGGGACUGAGAAACGGCCCAG
Molecule: ribosomal RNA, 227 nt
Filed under: uncultured bacterium
Lineage: Bacteria
Description: partial 16S ribosomal RNA
Rfam family: Bacterial small subunit ribosomal RNA
Source: RNAcentral